UACGUAGGGGGCAAGCGUUGUCCGGAAUCAUUGGGCGUAAAGCGCGUGUAGGCGGCCAGAAAAGUCCGCUGUGAAAACUCGAGGCUCAACUUCGAGCUGUCGGUGGAAACUUUCUGGCUAGAGUCCGGAAGAGGAGAAUGGAAUUCCUGGUGUAGCGGUGAAAUGCGCAGAUAUCAGGAAGAACACCCGUGGCGAAGGCGGUUCUCUGGGACGGUACUGACGCUGAGACGCGCAAGCGUGGGGAGCGAACAGG
Molecule: ribosomal RNA, 253 nt
Filed under: uncultured bacterium
Lineage: Bacteria
Description: partial 16S ribosomal RNA
Rfam family: Bacterial small subunit ribosomal RNA
Source: RNAcentral